Molecule: non-coding RNA, 424 nt
Organism: Ictidomys tridecemlineatus (thirteen-lined ground squirrel)
Lineage: Eukaryota; Metazoa; Chordata; Mammalia; Rodentia; Sciuridae
Source: RefSeq, a predicted model, not a curated record
CAAAGUACUUUUCUCGAACUCGAGCAAAACUGAAUCAACUAAAAAGUGACAUGUGAGGCACAGAGAAAAGCAGCUCUACUGAGGUCACCUUGCUGGUCAGUAGAACUGGGCUACAACCUGGGUCUGUCACUCAAUCUGCAAACCAUACUGCCCCAUUGUCUAUGUCUAUUGUCUACCAUGGGGUCUCCAGGAAAAGGCGGGUUCAAAAUUAGUUCCUUACUCUAAAGCCCAUAACUUGGGAAACUACUGUCAAAGAUCCUGCCUCUUAAAAAAAAAAAUACGAUCCCAAGCCUGAUUCAGUGGCACAUACCUGUAAGCUGGGGGUAUAGCUCGGUGGUAGAGCAUUCCUGGGUUCAAUCCACAGUAUUACAAACGAGAAAAACACGGCCCUAGCUGGGUGUGGUGUUUUGUGCCUUUAGUCCCA